CAUCCCGUCACAUCCUCUCCUCAGUUCAAGUGACCAUAAUGAAAUUCCUGGCUGUCCUAGUUCUUGUGCUUGCUUGCUUUGCUGUCUUCUCGGAAGCCUGCGGUUGUUGUAAGAAAUGUUGUCACAGCAGCCACCACUCCCACCACAGCAAACACGGCAUCCCCAUCCCCAUCCCCUACCCCAUGUCUCACGGCAGCAGCGGCGGCAGUCACACCAACUUCCUCCCCAUCAUCCUCACCACAACCGGCUAAUCUGACUAUGUGGGUAUUUGAAGGAUGUGCGUUUCUCUACAUUCCAAGAUCCAGUCGGACACGUGUUGACCUGUGCGCUAUAUCAAUAAAUGUGGUUGUUCGCUAU
Haliotis rufescens (red abalone) is the source of this 357-nucleotide long non-coding RNA. RefSeq lists it as uncharacterized. NCBI's taxonomy places the organism in Eukaryota, Metazoa, Mollusca, Gastropoda, Lepetellida, Haliotidae. The record is from RefSeq and is a predicted model, not a curated record. The transcript is spliced from 3 exons.